AGCCCCGUACACAAAAAUGCACAUAUUGUGAGCUUGAUGAGUAGGGCGGGACACGUGGUAUCCUGUCUGAAUAUGGGGGGACCAUCCUCCAAGGCUAAAUACUCCUGACUGACCGAUAGUGAACCAGUACCGUGAGGGAAAGGCGAAAAGAACCCCGGCGAGGGGAGUGAAAAAGAACCUGAAACCGUGUACGUACAAGCAGUGGGAGCACGCUUAGGCGUGUGACUGCGUACCUUUUGUAUAAUGGGUCAGCGACUUAUAUUCUGUAGCAAGGUUAACCGAAUAGGGGAGCCGAAGGGAAACCGAGUCUUAACUGGGCGUUAAGUUGCAGGGUAUAGACCCGAAACCCGGUGAUCUAGCCAUGGGCAGGUUGAAGGUUGGGUAACACUAACUGGAGGACCGAACCGACUAAUGUUGAAAAAUUAGCGGAUGACUUGUGGCUGGGGGUGAAAGGCCAAUCAAACCGGGAGAUAGCUGGUUCUCCCCGAAAGCUAUUUAGGUAGCGCCUCGUGAAUUCAUCUCCGGGGGUAGAGCACUGUUUCGGCA
RNAcentral lists this ribosomal RNA (546 nucleotides) under Shigella sonnei. RNAcentral's name for it is "partial 23S ribosomal RNA". It matches the Rfam family "Bacterial large subunit ribosomal RNA", at positions 369 to 920 of the family's 2925-position model. The record is from RNAcentral. Lineage: Bacteria; Pseudomonadati; Pseudomonadota; Gammaproteobacteria; Enterobacterales; Enterobacteriaceae.